GUGCUCACUUUGGUAGCGCAUAUACUAAAAUUGGAAUGAUGCAGAGAACAUUAGCAUGGCCCCUGCACAAGGUUGACAUAAAUUUAUGAAGCAUCCCGAAUUUUU
Small nuclear RNA from Jaculus jaculus (lesser Egyptian jerboa), 105 nucleotides. Lineage: Eukaryota; Metazoa; Chordata; Mammalia; Rodentia; Dipodidae. The record is from Ensembl.